This 203-nucleotide non-coding RNA is filed under the name Roseovarius albus. Lineage: Bacteria; Pseudomonadati; Pseudomonadota; Alphaproteobacteria; Rhodobacterales; Roseobacteraceae. The record is from RNAcentral.
GAUAAUUUGGUCCUGUAAGGUGCUGCAUCGCCCCGGGCUGUGCAGAGAAUUGGGAAGCCGGUAGAAUUCCGGCACUGCCCCCGCAACGGUAACAAAGGUAAGGGCGCGACACACCGCCACUGGGACGAGGAACCCCGGGAAGGCGUCGCAACCGGCGAAAGCCCCUUUCAAGUCCGGAAACCAGCCUUGCAUAACGUCAAAUC